UACGUAGGGUGCGAGCGUUAAUCGGAAUUACUGGGCGUAAAGCGUGCGCAGGCGGUUUGUUAAGACAGGUGUGAAAUCCCCGGGCUUAACCUGGGAACUGCGCUUGUUACUGGCAGACUUGAGUGUGGCAGAGGGGGGUGGAAUUCCAGGUGUAGCAGUGAAAUGCGUAGAGAUCUGGAGGAACACCGAUGGCGAAGGCAGCCCCCUGGGUUAACACUGACGCUCAUGCACGAAAGCGUGGGGAGCAAACAGG
RNAcentral lists this ribosomal RNA (253 nucleotides) under uncultured bacterium. RNAcentral's name for it is "partial 16S ribosomal RNA". It matches the Rfam family "Bacterial small subunit ribosomal RNA", at positions 524 to 776 of the family's 1533-position model. The record is from RNAcentral.